ACUAUAUCCCCAACCCCUGAAAUGGCUUUAAAGUAUGCUCAAAAAUCCAUAUUCUUCAAAUAGUGAAACUUAAUUACCCUACUUUUAGGAUGCGUUUAAUAUGAUAAGUUGUGACUUCCAAGGGUGCAUCAUAAAAGAAAUCCUCCUCGUUUCUCUUGGAUCACUUGCUGUGGGGAAAACCAGCUGACAUGUCCUGAGAAUGCUAAUAUGGAGAAUGCCAAGAUACUGAGAACUUCUACAAACAGCCAAUGAAAACCUGGCUUAUAUGAUAAACCCUUACUUCAGAAUCCUGAGUCUUUCUACAGAAAGGCAUUUUACAAAAGUAAGAGAGUCUAUGUAAAAGCCCACGGUGAAUAAAAAUGAUGCUGGCUACAUGGAAAUUAUUAUUAUGCAACAAUUGCUGAAACAAAUAUUUAGCGAGCAAAUCUUUAUGAAAGAUAUAUGUAG
Molecule: non-coding RNA, 447 nt
Organism: Heterocephalus glaber (naked mole-rat)
Lineage: Eukaryota; Metazoa; Chordata; Mammalia; Rodentia; Bathyergidae
Source: RefSeq, a predicted model, not a curated record